This 253-nucleotide ribosomal RNA is filed under the name uncultured bacterium. RNAcentral describes it as "partial 16S ribosomal RNA". It matches the Rfam family "Bacterial small subunit ribosomal RNA", at positions 524 to 776 of the family's 1533-position model. The record is from RNAcentral.
GACGUAGGGCGCGAGCGUUGUCCGGAUUUAUUGGGCGUAAAGCGCUCGUAGGCGGCUCGUUGCGUCGGCUGUGAAAACCCGCAGCUCAACUGUGGGCUUGCAGUUGAUACGGGCAGGCUAGAGUUCGGUAGGGGAGACUGGAAUUCCUGGUGUAGCGGUGAAAUGCGCAGAUAUCAGGAGGAACACCGGUGGCGAAGGCGGGUCUCUGGGCCGAUACUGACGCUGAGGAGCGAAAGCGUGGGGAGCGAACAGG